ACGGAAGGCAGCAGUAGGGAAUCUUCCACAAUGGACGAAAGUCUGAUGGAGCAAUGCCGCGUGAGUGAAGAAGGUUUUCGGAUCGUAAAACUCUGUUGUGAGGGAAGAACAAGUAUGAGAGUAACUGCUCGUACCUUGACGGUACCUCAUUAGAAAGCCACGGCUAACUACGUGCCAGCAGCCGCGGUAAUACGUAGGUGGCAAGCGUUGUCCGGAAUUAUUGGGCGUAAAGCGCGCGCAGGCGGUCCUUUAAGUCUGAUGUGAAAUCCCACGGCUCAACCGUGGAAGGUCAUUGGAAACUGGGGGACUUGAGUACAGAAGAGGAAAGCGGAAUUCCAAGUGUAGCGGUGAAAUGCGUAGAGAUUUGGAGGAACACCAGUGGCGAAGGCGGCUUUCUGGUCUGUAACUGACGCUGAGGCGCGAAAGCGUGGGGAGCAAACAGGAUUAGAUACCCUGGUA
This 459-nucleotide ribosomal RNA is filed under the name uncultured Caryophanaceae bacterium. RNAcentral's name for it is "uncultured Planococcaceae bacterium partial 16S ribosomal RNA". It matches the Rfam family "Bacterial small subunit ribosomal RNA", at positions 341 to 792 of the family's 1533-position model. The record is from RNAcentral. Lineage: Bacteria; Bacillati; Bacillota; Bacilli; Caryophanales; Caryophanaceae.